RNAcentral lists this ribosomal RNA (253 nucleotides) under uncultured bacterium. Its description in RNAcentral is "partial 16S ribosomal RNA". It matches the Rfam family "Bacterial small subunit ribosomal RNA", at positions 524 to 776 of the family's 1533-position model. The record is from RNAcentral.
UACGUAGGGGGCAAGCGUUGUCCGGAUUUAUUGGGCGUAAAGAGCGUGUAGGCGGCCGUACAGGUCAGCUGUGAAAACUCGAGGCUCAACCUCGAGACGUCGGUUGAAACCAUCUGGCUAGAGUCCGGGAGAGGAGAGUGGAAUUCCUGGUGUAGCGGUGAAAUGCGCAGAUAUCAGGAAGAACACCCGUGGCGAAAGCGGCUCUCUGGAACGGUACUGACGCUGAGACGCGAAAGCGUGGGGAGCGAACAGG